Long non-coding RNA from Rhinichthys klamathensis goyatoka, 1114 nucleotides. RefSeq lists it as uncharacterized. Lineage: Eukaryota; Metazoa; Chordata; Actinopteri; Cypriniformes; Leuciscidae. The record is from RefSeq and is a predicted model, not a curated record. The transcript is spliced from 5 exons.
CAAAAAAAUGAUUCUUGGCACUAAUUGAAUUUAAGCAAACAAUUUAAAUAAAAUAUAUUUAAAAAUGUAUAAAAUAACCUUUAUUGUUGCGAAUUACUCGUACACAACAUGAAUGUAAUGGAUCCAAAUCCAAACUGAUCAAAUUACAUACACUGUACUUGAUUUGCUGCCAUAAGGGACAAAUACAGAAGUUGCGCAUGCGCACUAGAGUGGAAAAAGAAAAAAAGAAAAAAAAAAUGAACAGAAGGCGGCAAGUCGAGUCGUUGGAGGUGCGAUACAAGUCAGCCAUUUGCGUGAACAGAUGUGGAAUAUUCGACAAGUCCUCACUUCGAUCUGACACUAUUUCAACAUUUCUGGCUCUGGUCAGGCACAAUCACUCAGUUACGAUAUGUGAGUUUUGGGAAUGUGGCAAUGUAAAGUGUGUGGCACAGAAUUAUCCAGUAGGAGGAAGACGAAUGGUAACCCUGAAGAGGCACAUCCUCAUCUAAGAAAAGUAGAGAAAAAUGUCAAGUCCGGCCAUUUUGAAGAUUGUUUUUUUGGUGUGGAUGACGAUGCAAGAAAACUUGCACUUAAGACAGGAAUCCCAAAGUCUGUGGAUGACCUUGUCCUUGAAAUAAUGACUGUUUUUGGGGUGAAGCAAAAGUUCAGGCUCCCGUACAAAGAUAAGGACUUUGGAAAUGAAUACAUGCAUCUCAUGUCAACCAGUCAAAUUGAAGACUGAUACCCUGAAAAUGAUUUUUCUAUCAACUGAUGACUCUAGCAUGCAAGAGACUGCACCUAAUGCACCAUUCCUGCUUUUGUAGCUCUGAUACUCUUGACACGAGAGAUGUUAGCCCUUGUGCUAUUGUCUCAGUCCAGGAACUUAUUUGAUGACUCUUUUUGCAGCAGCGCAGAGACUGUUUUUAUUAAAAAAAAUUCUUGGCAUCAGGUUUUUUUUGGUUCCUGUGUUCUGCUGAAAUUCAGCUUCAGAGAGCUAACACAGAGUUCAGCAACAGUGUAAUGCUCCAUGGCAGCUGAGGCAGUGAGUAGACCACUUAGUUCUGGCCUAAAUGUUGAAAUGUGAAAACGUGUUAUAACAAAAAUGUUUUUGUUGAAACCCUGUUAUGUAAAAAGU